AUUUUUAAAAAUCUAUGUCCAUAUUUUCUUGAACAAUCCAAAAAAUCACUUGAAAGCUUAUUUUUUUUAAAUCUUUGUCUAAAGAUGUCUUCUGCACUGGGGUCUUCAUUCUCCAUUCAACAGGGAAGUUAACACCCAAGGAACAACUCUGAACCUAUACUUCUCCCUUCCUAUGGAGUGCCUUCAGCUCACCUCCUCAAUGAACCACUUUCAACGAAAUCCUUUUCUCACCAUCUGCUUUGUGGGAACAUAAAACUAAGAGAACAAUGCUGGAAAUCACAAUAGCAGCUGUUCCAAGUGGUCAACAUUUGGGAAAAUACAUAGCAUUAGAAAGGAGUGCUGGGACACAUCAUUCCUGGAAGAAGCAGGUUCUGAGCCCAUGUAUACACUCUUGUUAUUUAAUAUGGAUGACUCCGGGUCACUCAGCAAUCGAAGAAAGAAAAGACAAAGCUUUCAUGUUUGCUUUCCACUUUCUCUGGGCCUAGAGGAGUUAAAAGGCAGAAUGUGAAAGCCAAAGAGAACAAAAACAAGCUCAUUUCUAAUGAAGACUUUGAUUCAAGUUUUUACUUUUGGAGCUUCAAGUUCAGUGUAAGUCUUCCUAUUUAAGCAAAAUACUUUAUUCUAAUUGAUAUGAAAUUUUAUUUAUUAA
RNAcentral lists this long non-coding RNA (649 nucleotides) under Vulpes vulpes (red fox). RNAcentral describes it as "lncRNA (ENSVVUG00000022963.1)". Lineage: Eukaryota; Metazoa; Chordata; Mammalia; Carnivora; Canidae. The record is from RNAcentral.